RNAcentral lists this ribosomal RNA (450 nucleotides) under uncultured bacterium. Its description in RNAcentral is "bacterial SSU rRNA". It matches the Rfam family "Bacterial small subunit ribosomal RNA", at positions 340 to 786 of the family's 1533-position model. The record is from RNAcentral.
UACGGAAGGCAGCAGUGGGGAAUAUUGCACAAUGGGCGCAAGCCUGAUGCAGCCAUGCCGCGUGUAUGAAGAAGGCCUUCGGGUUGUAAAGUACUUUCAGUCGUGAGGAAGGUGUUAAGGUUAAUAACCUUAGCAAUUGACGUUAGCGACAGAAGAAGCACCGGCUAACUCCGUGCCAGCAGCCGCGGUAAUACGGAGGGUGCGAGCGUUAAUCGGAAUUACUGGGCGUAAAGGGCACGCAGGCGGUUAAUAAGUUGGAUGUGAAUCCCCGGGCUUAACCUGGGAAUGGCAUUCAAGACUGGUUAGCUAGAGUCUUGUAGAGGGGGUAGAAUUCCAUGUGUAGCGGUGAAAUGCGUAGAGAUGUGGAGGAAUACCGGUGGCGAAGGCGGCCCCUGGACAAAGACUGACGCUCAUGUGCGAAAGCGUGGGGAGCAAACAGGAUUAGAUACC